Ictalurus punctatus (channel catfish) is the source of this 1092-nucleotide long non-coding RNA. NCBI's taxonomy places the organism in Eukaryota, Metazoa, Chordata, Actinopteri, Siluriformes, Ictaluridae. The record is from Ensembl.
CCACACACACACACACACAUUGACAAGCCUUCAAUCUCUUGUUUAAACUAUAUAUAGUCGCAUAAAUGGCCUUUUACGGAAAGAAAGGUUUCAACUGUGCUUUGGUUGUGGUUGGGGGCGGAGCUAAUUUUAGGGCUGGAGAUUUUUUUUUUAACAAAAAACGUGAAAAACAAACAAACAAAUUAGGAAAUCUAUUACAUGGCAAUAUUGCUAAUCACAGUGUUUGUGAGGUAUGAUGAAAUUAUAGGAUCGUUUCAGGCCCAGAAACACCUGCAAACAUUGCGAACUGCACCUUUAAUAAGGAGUCUAUCAGUUUCUACAGAUUUGUUUUUUAUUAUGCUCAUGCCCAAUAAAGUGCGAUCAUGUCUGAGGCAUAGAUACUCCGGUACUUUAAAAACUAUCGUUGGUGAAAUCCUCCUAAAUUAAACGAAAGCGAACGUUAAAAGAUUGUUGUUAUGAAUUGAGUCGUCCUCACGUGUUCUAAUGAAGUGUUUAAUAUUGAUGAAAUGACUUUAAUAUUCAUUAUGUUCAUUCAUUAUUCGCAGUAGGAAAUCAUUCGGAGGAAAUUUCUUUUAUUUUAAAGAUCAUUUGAAAGUUUUACGUCAAACAUUUCACAUUUUUUAAAUGAAUUUUACUCUAAUUUGAAGUGAAUCUACUGAACCUGACGGACUGUAAAUGAUCUUAUUGAAGUAUGUGUGAAGGUAGUAUUAUGGUAUGUUGUAUUGGAUGAAAUGUUGUACACUAUAACACUAUGAUCUAUGUCUGUUCUGUAUGAAAAAUGUCAAAUAAUGAAAAUAAUGUUGAAAUAUAUCAACAAGACUCUUGUUUAGACUUCUUUUAAUGCACAUGUGAUUAUAUACAAUCUGUAUUAGGCUUAUGGUGAUUCUGAUGAAGGGGUCGAAAUGUUUAUGAAUAAAUAGACUCUUAUUAUGCAGUACCGCAUUUAUCCACAAGGAGGCAGACAUGAGACUUUUUUUCUUUUUAAAAUACGUUUAAGAUCCCAAAGAAUACAUAGUGUGAAUUACAUCACAUGCAUCUCGCAUGAAGCCAACGUUUCCAUAGUAACGUCAUUACGAAAAAAGAAACUGCACC